GGCUCAGGAUGAACGCUGGCGGCGUGCUUAACACAUGCAAGUCGAACGAAGAUGCCGGAGUGCUUGCACUUUGGCAGACUGAGUGGCGGACGGGUGAGUAACGCGUGGGUAACCUGCCUUAUACAGGGGGAUAACAGUUGGAAACGACUGCUAAUACCGCAUAAGCGCACGGUAUCGCAUGAUACAGUGUGAAAAACUCCGGUGGUAUAAGAUGGACCCGCGUCUGAUUAGCUUGUUGGUGAGGUAACGGCCCACCAAGGCGACGAUCAGUAGCCGGCCUGAGAGGGUGAACGGCCACAUUGGGACUGAGACACGGCCCAAACUCCUACGGGAGGCAGCAGUGGGGAAUAUUGCACAAUGGAGGAAACUCUGAUGCAGCGACGCCGCGUGAGUGAAGAAGUAGUUCGCUAUGUAAAGCUCUAUCAGCAGGGAAGAUAGUGACGGUACCUGACUAAGAAGCUCCGGCUAAAUACGUG
Molecule: ribosomal RNA, 476 nt
Filed under: uncultured bacterium
Lineage: Bacteria
Description: bacterial SSU rRNA
Rfam family: Bacterial small subunit ribosomal RNA
Source: RNAcentral